This 470-nucleotide long non-coding RNA is filed under the name Elaeis guineensis (African oil palm). RNAcentral's name for it is "long non-coding RNA (EGUI_LNC077520)". The record is from RNAcentral. Lineage: Eukaryota; Viridiplantae; Streptophyta; Magnoliopsida; Arecales; Arecaceae.
GGAGGCUUUGAGCAGCCAAAUAAGAAAGCUUAGAUGAUGGUUAUAGUUUUGUGUUAGAUAUUGGAGAUCUUAUCUCAUGCUUUAGAUCUUAUCUCAUGCAUUAUAGCGAUAUAAUUGCUGUUUUUGAACCAACUCUCUGUCUCUCUCUCAUGUGCUAGGGGAGGAGGCCACCAUGUAGGAAAAUGAUUUAUAGGCGGUUUGGAGGAAAAAGAUGAGGAGAAGAAGUGGAUAGAAAGAAAGGAGAGGAGAGAAGUGAGAAGAAGAAUGGGUGGAGAGGAGGAGAAUGGAUAGAGAAAGGAGAGGAGGAGAAAGGAGGAGGGAGAAAGAGGAGGAAGGUGAGGAGGAGAAAUAGAUAAAAAGAAGGGAGGAAGAGAAAGAAAGAAGGAAGUGGGAGAAAAAGAGACACCGACUAUGGAGGAAGAGAGAGGAGGAAGAAGAUGGGUAUUUUUAUCAUUUUAAAAUUUUUUAUU